CACGUAGGGGCCAAGCGUUGUCCGGAUUUAUUGGGCGUAAAGAGCUCGUAGGCGGUGUGUCGCGUCGGCCGUGAAAACCUGCAGCUUAACUGUGGGCGUGCGGUCGAUACGGGCAUCACUGGAGUUCGGCAGGGGAGACUGGAAUUCCUGGUGUAGCGGUGAAAUGCGCAGAUAUCAGGAGGAACACCGGUGGCGAAGGCGGGUCUCUGGGCCGAUACUGACGCUGAGGAGCGAAAGCGUGGGGAGCAAACAGG
This 254-nucleotide ribosomal RNA is filed under the name uncultured bacterium. Its description in RNAcentral is "partial 16S ribosomal RNA". It matches the Rfam family "Bacterial small subunit ribosomal RNA", at positions 524 to 776 of the family's 1533-position model. The record is from RNAcentral.